UUUAUGGAGAGUUUGAUCCUGGCUCAGGAUGAACGCUGGCGGCGUGCCUAAUACAUGCAAGUCGAGCGAACGGACGAGAAGCUUGCUUCUCUGAUGUUAGCGGCGGACGGGUGAGUAACACGUGGAUAACCUACCUAUAAGACUGGGAUAACUUCGGGAAACCGGAGCUAAUACCGGAUAAUAUUUUGAACCGCAUGGUUCAAAAGUGAAAGACGGUCUUGCUGUCACUUAUAGAUGGAUCCGCGCUGCAUUAGCUAGUUGGUAAGGUAACGGCUUACCAAGGCAACGAUGCAUAGCCGACCUGAGAGGGUGAUCGGCCACACUGGAACUGAGACACGGUCCAGACUCCUACGGGAGGCAGCAGUAGGGAAUCUUCCGCAAUGGGCGAAAGCCUGACGGAGCAACGCCGCGUGAGUGAUGAAGGUCUUCGGAUCGUAAAACUCUGUUAUUAGGGAAGAACAUAUGUGUAAGUAACUGUGCACAUCUUGACGGUACCUAAUCAGAAAGCCACGGCUAACUACGUGCCAGCAGCCGCGGUAAUACGUAGGUGGCAAGCGUUAUCCGGAAUUAUUGGGCGUAAAGCGCGCGUAGGCGGUUUUUUAAGUCUGAUGUGAAAGCCCACGGCUCAACCGUGGAGGGUCAUUGGAAACUGGAAAACUUGAGUGCAGAAGAGGAAAGUGGAAUUCCAUGUGUAGCGGUGAAAUGCGCAGAGAUAUGGAGGAACACCAGUGGCGAAGGCGACUUUCUGGUCUGUAACUGACGCUGAUGUGCGAAAGCGUGGGGAUCAAACAGGAUUAGAUACCCUGGUAGUCCACGCCGUAAACGAUGAGUGCUAAGUGUUAGGGGGUUUCCGCCCCUUAGUGCUGCAGCUAACGCAUUAAGCACUCCGCCUGGGGAGUACGACCGCAAGGUUGAAACUCAAAGGAAUUGACGGGGACCCGCACAAGCGGUGGAGCAUGUGGUUUAAUUCGAAGCAACGCGAAGAA
Molecule: ribosomal RNA, 986 nt
Filed under: Staphylococcus aureus
Lineage: Bacteria; Bacillati; Bacillota; Bacilli; Caryophanales; Staphylococcaceae
Description: bacterial SSU rRNA
Rfam family: Bacterial small subunit ribosomal RNA
Source: RNAcentral